Molecule: ribosomal RNA, 168 nt
Filed under: Aegilops kotschyi
Lineage: Eukaryota; Viridiplantae; Streptophyta; Magnoliopsida; Poales; Poaceae
Description: 5.8S ribosomal RNA
Rfam family: 5.8S ribosomal RNA
About the family: 5.8S ribosomal RNA (5.8S rRNA) is a component of the large subunit of the eukaryotic ribosome. It is transcribed by RNA polymerase I as part of the 45S precursor that also contains 18S and 28S rRNA.
Source: RNAcentral
AAUCCACACGACUCUCGGCAACGGAUAUCUCGGCUCUCGCAUCGAUGAAGAACGUAGCGACAUGCGAUACCUGGUGUGAAUUGCAGAAUCCCGCGAACCAUCGAGUCUUUGAACGCAAGUUGCGCCCGAGGCCACUCGGCCGAGGGGCAGCCUGCCUGGGCGUCACGC